This 434-nucleotide ribosomal RNA is filed under the name uncultured bacterium. Its description in RNAcentral is "partial 16S ribosomal RNA". It matches the Rfam family "Bacterial small subunit ribosomal RNA", at positions 29 to 507 of the family's 1533-position model. The record is from RNAcentral.
AGCGAACGCUGGCGGCAGGCCUAACACAUGCAAGUCGAACGAACCUUUCGGGGUUAGUGGCGGACGGGUGAGUAACACGUGGGAACGUGCCUUUAGGUUCGGAAUAACUCAGGGAAACGUGUGCUAAUACCGAAUGUGCCCUUCGGGGGAAAGAUUAAUCGCCUUUAGAGCGGCCCGCGUCUGAUUAGCUAGUUGGUUGAGGUAAUGGCUCACCAAGGCGACGAUCAGUAGCUGGUCUGAGAGGAUGAUCAGCCACAUUGGGACUGAGACACGGCCCAAACUCCUACGGGAGGCAGCAGUGGGGAAUCUUGCGCAAUGGGCGAAAGCCUGACGCAGCCAUGCCGCGUGAAUGAUGAAGGUCUUAGGAUUGUAAAAUUCUUUCACCGGGGACGAUAAUGACGGUACCCGGAGAAGAAGCCCCGGCUAACUUCGUG